GAUGAACGCUAGCGGCAGGCUUAACACAUGCAAGUCGAGGGGCAGCAUGACACGGAGAUUCGUCGAAGUGUUGAUGGCGACCGGCGCAAGGGUGCGUAACGCGUGAGCAACUUGCCCGUUUCUGGGGAAUAACCGGUGGAAACGCCGACUAAUACCCCAUGGCAUCAGGUUUAGGCAUCUUUACCUGAUUAAAGAAUUUCGGAAACGGAUAGGCUCGCGUGACAUUAGCUAGAUGGCGGGGUAACGGCCCACCAUGGCGACGAUGUCUAGGGGUUCUGAGAGGAAGGUCCCCCACACUGGAACUGAGACACGGUCCAG
RNAcentral lists this ribosomal RNA (318 nucleotides) under uncultured bacterium. RNAcentral describes it as "bacterial SSU rRNA". It matches the Rfam family "Bacterial small subunit ribosomal RNA", at positions 28 to 334 of the family's 1533-position model. The record is from RNAcentral.